GGUUAUGGCUCAGUGGUAGAGCACUGGCCUUGCACGUGCGAUCCCGAGUUCGAUCCUCAGCACCA
This 65-nucleotide transfer RNA is filed under the name Marmota monax (woodchuck). RNAcentral describes it as "tRNA.Ala". Lineage: Eukaryota; Metazoa; Chordata; Mammalia; Rodentia; Sciuridae. The record is from RNAcentral.